Podarcis lilfordi (Lilford's wall lizard) is the source of this 72-nucleotide non-coding RNA. Lineage: Eukaryota; Metazoa; Chordata; Lepidosauria; Squamata; Lacertidae. The record is from the annotation of a GenBank genome assembly.
AGGGCUGUAGCUCAGUAGCAGAGCAUCUCCUCAGCACACAGAAGGUCCCGGGUUCAAAUCCCAGCACCUCCA